AACGCGAAGAACCUUACCAAGGUUUGACAUGCAGGGAAAAGCCGUAGAGAUACGGUGUCCGUAAGGGCCCUGCACAGGUGGUGCAUGGCUGUCGUCAGCUCGUGUCGUGAGAUGUUGGGUUAAGUCCCGCAACGAGCGCAACCCUCGUCCUAUGUUGCCAGCGGGUAAUGCCGGGGACUCAUAGGAGACUGCCGGGGUCAACUCGGAGGAAGGUGGGGAUGACGUCAAGUCCUCAUGCCCCUUAUAUCUUGGGCUGCAAACAUGCUACAAUGGCCAGUACAGAGGGCUGCGAGACCGCAAGGUGGAGCGAAUCUCAAAAAGCUGGUCUCAGUUCGGAUUGGGGUCUGCAACUCGACCCCAUGAAGUCGGAGUCGCUAGUAAUCGCGAAUCAGCAACGUCGCGGUGAAUACGUUCCCGGGCCUUGUA
Molecule: ribosomal RNA, 426 nt
Filed under: uncultured Actinomycetes bacterium
Lineage: Bacteria; Bacillati; Actinomycetota; Actinomycetes
Description: bacterial SSU rRNA
Rfam family: Bacterial small subunit ribosomal RNA
Source: RNAcentral